AUACGGAGGACGCGAGCGUUAUCCGGAUUCAUUGGGUUUAAAGGGUGCGCAGGCGGCCGUGCAAGUCAGCGGUGAAAGCCCGGGGCUCAACCCCGGAAGUGCCGUUGAUACUGCAUGGCUGGAAUGCGGUCGAGGCGGGCGGGACGUGGCGGGUAGCGGGGGAAUGCGUAGAUAUGCCACAGAACGCCGAUAGCGGGGGCAGCUCGCCAGGCCUGCAUUGACGCUCGGGCACGAAAGCGUGGGGAUCGAACAGGAUUAGAUACCCUGGUAGUCCACGCCGUAAACGAUGGGCGCUCGUCGUCGGCGGCAGACAGUCGGCGGCCAAGCGAAAGCGAUAAGCGCCCCACCUGGGGAGUACGGUCGCAAGGCUGAAACUCAAAUGAAUUGACGGGG
RNAcentral lists this ribosomal RNA (393 nucleotides) under uncultured bacterium. Its description in RNAcentral is "partial 16S ribosomal RNA". It matches the Rfam family "Bacterial small subunit ribosomal RNA", at positions 523 to 918 of the family's 1533-position model. The record is from RNAcentral.